Long non-coding RNA from Manihot esculenta (cassava), 720 nucleotides. RefSeq lists it as uncharacterized. NCBI's taxonomy places the organism in Eukaryota, Viridiplantae, Streptophyta, Magnoliopsida, Malpighiales, Euphorbiaceae. The transcript has 3 exons. The record is from RefSeq and is a predicted model, not a curated record.
UAAAAAGAAUAUGAAUAAAGAAAAGAAAAAGAAAAGAAAAAGAAAGGAAAAGAAAAGAAAAGAAAAAAAAAUGAUAAAUAAAUUAAAUCUUAAUUUAAAGACAAGUGGCUCAUUUGUAACCACUUACCCAAAUUAAUUAAAUAAGAAAAAGAAAAUAAUAAGAGGAAAAGAUCAUCUUCUUCCCAAAUAUCCCGUAUCCAUCCCCAAAAUUGCCCUAAAAUUCUUCUUCUCAAUUCUACUCCAAUUGCUUCCAAUUUUUCCACCCAACUUGCUAGCCUACCUCAUCCAAGUCCCUUCCCUAGUUGAAUAUUCAAAGUAGGAGGAAGAAUUAAAGAGAAAUUCAAGGUGGAGGGAGAGGAAAUAUUAAUUACAUAUUGGGAAUUUGAAAGAAGAAGUAGAAGGGAAAGGGAAAGAAAAGGAAAAUUAGGGAAAUUUAAGCUUGUGGAAGAGCUUGGGAAGGUUGUAGACCCAAGGAAUAGUAGAUCAAGAUCUGCAUCAACCCAGUCAGAGUUACAUCAUUGACUAUCUUGGGGUAUCUUUUGUAAAUUUCUAUAUGAAUUUGAUUUUGGAAAUAUGGCAUGUACAUAAAGUUUUGGAGAUGAAGUUGUAUAUGGUUAGUUAUAGAUAUAGUUGAAGAUUUUAAUUUUGGUAUAAAUGUGGAUGAUUAGUAUAAGUUUCUGUGUUGAGAUUAAUUAAAUGUUAUGAAGUGUUUGAUCUGAA